This is a long non-coding RNA of Hemicordylus capensis (graceful crag lizard), 847 nucleotides long. RefSeq lists it as uncharacterized. Lineage: Eukaryota; Metazoa; Chordata; Lepidosauria; Squamata; Cordylidae. The record is from RefSeq and is a predicted model, not a curated record. The transcript has 2 exons.
AGCGCUCUCUUGGGGGGGACGGACACCCGAAGCCUCCUCUUUUCUCUCACACACACGCGCGCCCUCAAGUCCACAGCUCUUGCUCAGCAAUAAAUCCUACUGGUUGCCGCGGAAUGUCCUUCCCAACCACGUCCAGCCCUUACGCACGUUGGCAGAGGGACACAAGCGUCCCUGCAUUCCCUGGGACCGACUCGGCGCGCCCGCGUCCACGCGCAACCCUGCGCUCUCCGCCUUCCGCUCCUCUGGCAAAGACUUUGCCGUCGGCGCUCGCUCGCACACGCAGAGGCGCGCAGGCUGCCCCCUCCGGCUCGCACCUCCCGGGACCGGAUCCACGCUCCUAAGGGAGGAGGAGACCCGCCACCACCGCACCUGCAAAAAGUCAAAUUCAAAUAACUCCAGUAUUGCCCUUGGGCAGCCCUUGCCUGCCUGGGCCCAGAGCUGCAUAGCCCCACUGUGACAUCAGAGCAGCCAGGCGAACAGCAGCCAGAAGGAGGGCAGCAAGACACCUCUGCCUGCACAAGUUCACUGUGACAUCAGAGCAGUUCAGCCAACAGGAUCAAGACAUGCAGCUGCUCAGGAUGUUUGAAUAGUCCAUGCCUGUUGGACGGUGAUUUCACACAUGACAAAGAGGCAAAGCUGGUUUCUUAUCGAGCGUGCACGCACCGGAGCAGAGAGCUACAUUGAAUCUCCUCUCCCCGACGAAUGCCCCGUUGUGGGACACAUGACUGCAAACAUGUCAGAGAGAUAGCUAGGUGCAUUUUAGAGCACAUUUAAAACAUCUUAAGUUUACAUGUGUACAAUGGAACAUGCAAAAUGUUAUGCUGAUUAAAAUCAUGUCUCACCUGAA